This 440-nucleotide ribosomal RNA is filed under the name uncultured bacterium. RNAcentral describes it as "partial 16S ribosomal RNA". It matches the Rfam family "Bacterial small subunit ribosomal RNA", at positions 338 to 795 of the family's 1533-position model. The record is from RNAcentral.
CCUACGGGAGGCAGCAGUAGGGAAUUUUGCGCAAUGGGCGAAAGCCUGACGCAGCAACGCCGCGUGAUCGAGACGCCCUUCGGGGUGUAAAGAUCUGUCAGUGGGGACGAAACUUGACGGUACCCACAGAGGAAGCACCGGCUAACUCCGUGCCAGCAGCCGCGGUAAUACGGGGGGUGCAAGCGUUGUCCGGAAUCAUUGGGCGUAAAGAGUUCGUAGGCGGCACGUAAAGUCGUGUGUUAAAGGCAGAGGCUCAACUUCUGUACGGCACUGGAUACUUGCGAGCUAGAAUGCGGUAGAGGUAAAGGGAAUUCCUGGUGUAGCGGGGAAAUGCGUAGAUAUCAGGAGGAACAUCGGUGGCGUAAGCGCGUUACUGGGCCGUAAUUGACGCUGAGGAACGAAAGCCAGGGUAGCAAAUGGGAUUAGAUACCCGUGUAGUC